RNAcentral lists this ribosomal RNA (492 nucleotides) under uncultured bacterium. RNAcentral's name for it is "partial 16S ribosomal RNA". It matches the Rfam family "Bacterial small subunit ribosomal RNA", at positions 29 to 507 of the family's 1533-position model. The record is from RNAcentral.
AGUGAACGCUGGCGGUAGGCCUAACACAUGCAAGUCGAACGGCAGCACAGUAAGAGCUUGCUCUUACGGGUGGCGAGUGGCGGACGGGUGAGGAAUACAUCGGAAUCUACUUUUUCGUGGGGGAUAACGUAGGGAAACUUACGCUAAUACCGCAUACGAACUACGGGUGAAAGCAGGGGAUCUUCGGACCUUGCGCGAUUGAAUGAGCCGAUGUCGGAUUAGCUAGUUGGCGGGGUAAAGGCCCACCAAGGCGACGAUCCGUAGCUGGUCUGAGAGGAUGAUCAGCCACACUGGAACUGAGACACGGUCCAGACUCCUACGGGAGGCAGCAGUGGGGAAUAUUGGACAAUGGGCGCAAGCCUGAUCCAGACAUACCGCGUGGGUGAAGAAGGCCUUCGGGUUGUAAAGCCCUUUUGUUGGGAAAGAAAAGCAGCAGGUUAAUACCCCGCUGUUCUGACGGUACCCAAAGAAUAAGCACCGGCUAACUUCGUG